CAUGAUGGUAUUGUUUAGGGAGAAUGAUGCUAGUUAGGAUAUGAUGAAGUACUUUAGUGUUUAGUGGUAGUAGAUAUUCACAGCUUUUAGGAACUAUCACUAAGUUGGGAUUACCAAAAAUUGUUCCUAAGGCUUCAACAUAUGUUGUCCCAACUGUUUCAUUGUCCCACGAUCCUCUAAAAUAAAGUCCUCUAUUUUUUACGGGAAUGCCUAUCAUGUCGC
This 222-nucleotide long non-coding RNA is filed under the name Musa acuminata (dwarf banana). RNAcentral describes it as "long non-coding RNA (MACU_LNC007294)". Lineage: Eukaryota; Viridiplantae; Streptophyta; Magnoliopsida; Zingiberales; Musaceae. The record is from RNAcentral.